UGAAUUUCAAGUGUUCCAUUUUUCUGGGA
This 29-nucleotide non-coding RNA is filed under the name Mus musculus (house mouse). The record is from RNAcentral. Lineage: Eukaryota; Metazoa; Chordata; Mammalia; Rodentia; Muridae.